Molecule: ribosomal RNA, 553 nt
Filed under: Triticum aestivum (bread wheat)
Lineage: Eukaryota; Viridiplantae; Streptophyta; Magnoliopsida; Poales; Poaceae
Description: partial small subunit ribosomal RNA
Source: RNAcentral
GGCGGCGCGAACAAGGCGUCGGCAGCGAAGCGAAGGCAAGGGCGCCCAUCGAGCGACGGUCGGAUCUCCCGGCUCGCCGCGCAUCCGGUCGACCUCCCACCUCUCGGCACCUCGCGUCCACGGCGGCGCGAACAAGGUGGCGGCAGCUAAGCGAAGGCAAGGGCGCCCAUCGGGCGACGCUCGGAUCUCCCAUCUUGCCGCGCAUCUGGUCGAUCUCAUACCUCUCGACACCUCGCGUCCACGGCGGCGCGAACAGACGGUGGCAGCGAAGCGAUUGCAAGGGGGGCGGCGGCGGAGCUCUCAGCCGUUCCCACAUAUCCGACCUGAACCACCCUCCUUGGCUCUCCAGCAUUUCAUCUCAUCCGACUCAGUCCACGGCGUCGGGGAAUGGAUCAAGCCCAAGCCUUGUUCUUCUUGCAAUGGAUCGGCGCCCACCGGACCCAAAUCGGCGCCCACCGGACCCAAUUGACUGAAUUUUUUGAUCUUUACUUUGGAGAUGCUGCUGUCAUAUGCAACAACAUUGGUCGCAACUAUCUGAAGAGUGCCUACCGGU